UUCACACUCAUGCAGAGAAGGUUCAGAGCAGUUGGAUUGCAGUUACCAGGUUGCUUGCAUUGGAAUACAGAAAUGGCUUGUGGAGUUCAUUUGGGGAUCUUGCUGAUUUGCUUAGUUCAAGCAGAGCAUGUGCGUUGUCUGUGGGCGACUCAAGCUCAGAGACCAAACAGCAACACGUAUGUUGGCUUCACAGAGCAGGGCAGUGGAUUUGAUGAAAGCGAUCCCCAGGAUCAAUUCAGACAGGCCUCUGGUUCUCCUGGCUCAGCCCAGAGCAGUAGCCUCAACACAGACCCUAUUGGCAGUGAUUCUAGCCAGAGAUUUCCCAAUAGUGGCUACACACAAACUCUUUUCCAGCCAGCUAACAGUGGCUAUGAUUCAGUAAAGUUGGUGCAAAGCAGCGCGCAGUCAAAACCUAACUGGCGAACAACUAAGUUGAAUUGGGAACAUUUACAAAAGAUGCCAAAAAAGCGCAUAUUUGGCCUUUCUGCUUCUAUUGCUGGUGGCAGGUCACUGAGUAAGUACGAUCAAACUCCGAUUAGCAAGAAGAGAA
This is a long non-coding RNA of Cyclopterus lumpus (lumpfish), 550 nucleotides long. RefSeq lists it as uncharacterized. The transcript is spliced from 3 exons. The record is from RefSeq and is a predicted model, not a curated record. NCBI's taxonomy places the organism in Eukaryota, Metazoa, Chordata, Actinopteri, Perciformes, Cyclopteridae.